Molecule: ribosomal RNA, 616 nt
Filed under: uncultured bacterium
Lineage: Bacteria
Description: bacterial SSU rRNA
Rfam family: Bacterial small subunit ribosomal RNA (bases 1-520)
Source: RNAcentral
CCUACGGGAGGCAGCAGUGGGGAAUAUUGGGCAAUGGAGGAAACUCUGACCCAGCGACGCCGCGUGCGGGAUGAAGGCCUUCGGGUUGUAAACCGCUUUCAGCAGGGAAGAAGCGAAAGUGACGGUACCUGCAGAAGAAGCACCGGCUAACUAUGUGCCAGCAGCCGCGGUAAUACAUAGGGUGCAAGCGUUGUCCGGAAUUAUUGGGCGUAAAGAGCUCGUAGGUGGUUCGUCACGUCGGAUGUGAAAAUCUGGGGCUUAACCCCAGACCUGCAUUCGAUACGGGCGAGCUUGAGUAUGGUAGGGGAGUCUGGAAUUCCUGGUGUAGCGGUGGAAUGCGCAGAUAUCAGGAGGAACACCAAUGGCGAAGGCAGGACUCUGGGCCAUUACUGACACUGAGGAGCGAAAGCGUGGGGAGCGAACAGGAUUAGAUACCCUGGUAGUCCACGCCGUAAACGGUGGGCACUAGUUGUGGGGACCUUCCACGGUCUCUGCGACGCNGCUACGCAUAGUGCCCGCCGUCGGGAGGUACGAGCGCGAGAAGUUAAACUUAAAUUAGUUAAGUUAGUUACGGCGUGAGACGUUGCCGACGGACGACCGACGAGGGGAGGUUAGG